Molecule: long non-coding RNA, 430 nt
Organism: Gambusia affinis (western mosquitofish)
Lineage: Eukaryota; Metazoa; Chordata; Actinopteri; Cyprinodontiformes; Poeciliidae
Exons: 3
Source: RefSeq, a predicted model, not a curated record
GUGCUGCAGACCGGACCCACAACGGCAGUCUGCAUUCUGAUUGGUUCAGACACUCUGGAAACUAAACUUCCUAUUGGCCAGCAUUCUUGCUCCUCUGAUGAUGGAACCUCCGGUCUCUUCACCCAUCACCAUAAACACAGUUUAAGUCCCAGGAUGGGAAAACAAUAGCUACGUAGAGGAACUAAAGGAAGAGCUGGUCUUCCAUCGGCAGAUUUGUUGCCCAACUGUGCUCUGAAAUCCAAUCAUAUUAUACUUUCCGCACCAAAGUGCUCCCUUCGACCGCAAUCCUCUUCAGGGCGCACCACGCGGCAGAAAUCCGCGUCAGCAGCGCCGUGACGCCCUAUUGCCGUCAAAUGGGCCAGACGCAACGUGAGAAGGAGGUUCUAUAUGGACACUGUUGAUGAGGUACAGGUGUUCCUCAUUACACCGG